UACGUAGGGGGCAAGCGUUGUCCGGAUUUAUUGGGCGUAAAGAGCGUGUAGGCGGCUAUACAGGUCCGCUGUGAAAACUCGAGGCUCAACCUCGAGACGUCGGUGGAAACCGUAUGGCUAGAGUCCGGAAGAGGAGAGUGGAAUUCCUGGUGUAGCGGUGAAAUGCGCAGAUAUCAGGAAGAACACCAAUGGCGAAAGCAGCUUUCUGGGACGGUACUGACGCUGAGACGCGAAAGCGUGGGGAGCGAACAGG
RNAcentral lists this ribosomal RNA (253 nucleotides) under uncultured bacterium. Its description in RNAcentral is "partial 16S ribosomal RNA". It matches the Rfam family "Bacterial small subunit ribosomal RNA", at positions 524 to 776 of the family's 1533-position model. The record is from RNAcentral.